AUAUAUAUAAACGACGACCCAUCCCGACCAUGUGAACACUGGCAGUCGGAAAAACAACGUAACCACGAGGGCGGCCCCUGAUAUUCCCAGGUGGAAUGAAUGCAACAGGAUUUGCAGAGCAAU
Molecule: long non-coding RNA, 123 nt
Organism: Etheostoma spectabile (orangethroat darter)
Lineage: Eukaryota; Metazoa; Chordata; Actinopteri; Perciformes; Percidae
Exons: 4
Source: RefSeq, a predicted model, not a curated record